This 253-nucleotide ribosomal RNA is filed under the name uncultured bacterium. Its description in RNAcentral is "partial 16S ribosomal RNA". It matches the Rfam family "Bacterial small subunit ribosomal RNA", at positions 524 to 776 of the family's 1533-position model. The record is from RNAcentral.
UACAGAGACUGCAAGCGUUAUUCGGAUUCACUGGGCGUAAAGGGUGCGCAGGCGGCCAAGUGUGUUAGGCGUGAAAGCCUGGGGCUUAACCCCGGAAUUGCACCUAAAACUACAUGGCUAGAGCAUUGGAGAGGGUAGCGGAAUUCACGGUGUAGCAGUGAAAUGCGUAGAUAUCGUGAGGAACACCAGAGGCGAAGGCGGCUACCUGGACAAUUGCUGACGCUCAGGCACGAAAGCGUGGGGAGCAAAAGGG